This 294-nucleotide ribosomal RNA is filed under the name uncultured Synergistaceae bacterium. Its description in RNAcentral is "partial 16S ribosomal RNA". It matches the Rfam family "Bacterial small subunit ribosomal RNA", at positions 1093 to 1382 of the family's 1533-position model. Lineage: Bacteria; Thermotogati; Synergistota; Synergistia; Synergistales; Synergistaceae. The record is from RNAcentral.
CGAGCGCAACCCCUGCAUUCAGUUGCCAUCGGGUAAUGCCGGGCACUCGUGGAAGGACUGCCAUCGACAAGAUGGAGGAAGGUGGGGAUGACGUCAAGUCAUCAUGGCCCUUAUGUCCAGGGCGACACACGUGCUACAAUGGCCGGCGACAACGGGAAGCGAGUUCGCGAGGACGAGCGGAUCCCUCAAAGCCGGUACGCAGUUCGGAUUGAAGUCUGCAACUCGACUUCAUGAAGCUGGAAUCGCUAGUAAUCGUGGAUCAGCCAAGCCGCGGUGAAUACGUUCCCGGGCCUU